GAAGAACCAGGUUUUCAUUGGAAAUGAGUUGGUCACGUUUUUCCAGCCUGUUAUGUCAUGGCAAUCUGCACGCAACUACUUCUUUUUUGGUUUGGCUUUUUUUUGGGGGUUGUUUUGUUUUUUGGAUUUUUUGCAAGAACCUUACCAACUUCAAAAUAACCACGAUUUUAGAAGCUACAUAUAAAUACGUAUUUACAGUCUCUUCAUUAAGAGCUGCCAAAAUAACAAUUCGUCUCAACACACACAUAUUGAGGGCAGAAGCCAUUUCCUUCGCCACUCACAUCUCUCCAGUGUAUCACCCUAAAAUAAGUUUACCACGGCGAAGCUCCAAGCGUGACACACGCCACCAAUUAGGAUUAUUUUCGGACCUCAAAACCGAGCGAAAAAGUUGCACAAUUUUGACGCUGCUUUAUAAACCCUGCAAGGAGUCGUUUUUAAAGCACGGUACAUCCUAUGGCGCUUGGCACCAGCCCAGUCCUGCACGCCAGUGACUCACUCCUCUUGACUGUCAAAACCCCGAAGGAGAUAGCCAGGAACAGCCCUUGGGCCAGCACGGCGUGAAAGAGCCCUUCCUGCCAUGCCGCUGCAGCAGCUUCAGGAGCAGAAGUGGCAACUCGGAGAGAAAUCUGUGGACUGCUAGUAUUGAGAUGGAGGCAAGAGGUGAUGAAAGCUUUGAGGUCUUCUCCUCAGCGAGAAGCAGCAUGUCCUUUGGAGGAGUACCUGACUUAAGUUGAAGAGACUGUGAAGGAAACCUCCAUAUCCAUGGCAGGUAAACAUUUGCCUUUGAUUCUGUUUUUCUCUUCAAGUCUAGAAACCCCAGCAUUUACACUUAAAUGGAUGUGCUGUAAGCUAUGUUUAGGAAGAGAAUUUAAUCCCCUCCUGCAUGUACUUUUACACAUGAUAAUUAUUUGACUGCAGCUUUACAAAGUAUGGCUGGAGGGAUGGUUUGAAAGGGAGGAGUUACAUGGCACUGAUGAUAACUGCCUGAUUCAGCCCCACUGAAGGCAGUGGAAGCAGGAUCAGACGAUCCAGAAGAGAUAUUUUAUUUUAAACAGCCAUUAUAGACCUUCAGUGACUCAUGAUAAAUCCCUGCCUCCUGGUUUCACAUACUGGAGAACACACACAUAUGCUGGAACCAUGCAUGACUUCAGGGUCGUGUGUUCAAUGUGGACACGAAUCUCUGCAUUUUGUCACCUAAAAAAACCCCAAACAACUAAAAGAGAGCUAGAGAGCUUAUGAAGAUGACAUUUUGGUGAAUGAUGGUAUUUUUUUUAUACUAUCAGUUUUGUCCUCAUCAAACAUAUCACAGAGUUUGGGCUCUUCCUUUAUUUUUUCCAUUCUGCUUCUUCUUUCCCACCUGAUCUGUUCCUUCUAUACAAUGGAAGUUGUAGUCCAACACUCACAGAGGAGUAAAAUAACUGCUCUAUAACCACAUGAUCUGGAUGCAAUACCUUGCACGUAACUACUUCUCCUAGUGCCAAAGACAUGGCCACACUACCAGUAUUUAAUUUGUUGCUGCACAAAAUACUCUGGAAAGCUGUGACAUUGAAACACUUCCUUUAAACUGGUUCCUGCUCAGCUCUAAAGAGAUUUGGGUCUUCUCUUUGAUGGUUUUCAGUCUAAGAAAGUAACAAACGUGAAAGCUCUCCCACAAGACUUGAUCAAGUCUUGUGAAAUGGCAGUCUAAAUUUUGGCCUCUCUCUGGCUUGCGAGCAAAGCAGGACAAGUCUUUGUUUUCUUGAAAGAAACAGGGAUGGCUGUCUUCUUUAAAAUCCUGAGAAGGCAGAAAGCAGAGAUGAUUUCUACUUUCCUGUGGCAAGGUCAAUUCUAUCCCCCCUGCAGAUGGAGGUACCCUGCUAACAGUAUGAGCAAGGCACCUUUGAGAAAGGUCACCAGAGCCUGUUGCCCUGUGCUUUCUCAAGAGUGGUAAGGACUUUGUGCCACUACCAUUUAGCUAUCACCAAAAUCACAGCCAGGGCUUUCUUUGAUCAUAAUGUCUCCUAUUGCAGGAAGCUGUGAAAGCUCUGCAGUAACUUUGCUGCACACAGCUACCCCAAAAGGGGCUUUUAACAAUGGCACUUUGUUAUACAGUAUUUUCUUGUAUUGAUUUUUCAAGUUUUGGGGUGGAGAUAAUCACUGAGAAACAUAAGAUCUUGAAAAAAAAUUAAUAAUAAGUUAUAUAUUGGGACUUUUGAUUUAGUUAGGGUAUCAGUAAAAUCAUGUCUGAUCUUAUAUGCUAAUUUUUAUCCUUCUCAGUCAUUUGUAGGGGUGGAGGAGACUGCCUUCCAUUACAACAGA
Molecule: non-coding RNA, 2298 nt
Organism: Cyanistes caeruleus (blue tit)
Lineage: Eukaryota; Metazoa; Chordata; Aves; Passeriformes; Paridae
Source: RefSeq, a predicted model, not a curated record